RNAcentral lists this small RNA (587 nucleotides) under Pongo abelii (Sumatran orangutan). RNAcentral's name for it is "retained intron". Lineage: Eukaryota; Metazoa; Chordata; Mammalia; Primates; Hominidae. The record is from RNAcentral.
GCUCUGCAUUAGAUGGAUGGCUUCCUGUCACAGUCCAGCCUCCCGAAGAGAAACAAGGAGUUUUGGCUGAUUCAUGAUGACAGUCUUUUCUCAACUCCUCUGAAUGGCACAUAGGAAGGGACCUUGUAAUCCAAGAGCAGUUACUGGAAUCACGGUCUCUCGCGAUGGAUCUUCAGUAUUCACAACAUCCCAAGAUUCCACCUUGAAGAUGUUUUCUAAAGAAUCAAAAAUGCUACAAAGAAGUAUAUCAUUUUCAAAUAUGGCUUUAUCAUCUUGUUUACUUUUACCAGGAGAUGCCACUGUCAUAACUUCUUCAUGGGAUAAUAAUGUGUAUGUAUCUGUGUACCCUGCUCUGUGAUUCCACGUGCAGAAUAGCUGCCUCUGUGGACAUGAGGUGUGAAAAGCCAGAAGCUUUCCCUGCCAGGACACAGCACUAUUUUCUAAAGGGAACAGAUAUUAGAGAUGAGGACAGUAUGGUUGGAUUUGAAUAUGAUUACUUGGAUUGAAUAAUUUCUCCAAUUGGAGUCUGUUUUUCUCUAAGUUUUAAAUUGAGGUGAAAACACAGAUGAGCCAGACAUGGAAAUUUC